UGACUCAGUGGUAGAGUGCUUGUCUCAUAUGCAUGAGGCCCUGAGUUCAAUUCCUCAG
RNAcentral lists this transfer RNA (58 nucleotides) under Dipodomys ordii (Ord's kangaroo rat). It matches the Rfam family "tRNA", at positions 8 to 63 of the family's 71-position model. Rfam says of the family: Transfer RNA (tRNA) molecules are approximately 80 nucleotides in length. Their secondary structure includes four short double-helical elements and three loops (D, anti-codon, and T loops). The record is from Rfam by way of RNAcentral. Lineage: Eukaryota; Metazoa; Chordata; Mammalia; Rodentia; Heteromyidae.